AUUUUCAUAGGUGAUGAAGUUCGCUUUUAAAUAUCUCCUUUGAGAUUGAUGACCUCUACUAUAUC
This 65-nucleotide non-coding RNA is filed under the name Clostridium saccharoperbutylacetonicum. RNAcentral describes it as "Fluoride sequence". It matches the Rfam family "Fluoride riboswitch aptamer (crcB RNA motif)". RNAcentral also lists the same sequence under 1 other name. The record is from RNAcentral. Lineage: Bacteria; Bacillati; Bacillota; Clostridia; Eubacteriales; Clostridiaceae.